This 301-nucleotide ribosomal RNA is filed under the name uncultured bacterium. RNAcentral describes it as "partial 16S ribosomal RNA". It matches the Rfam family "Bacterial small subunit ribosomal RNA", at positions 509 to 809 of the family's 1533-position model. The record is from RNAcentral.
CAGCCGCCGCGGGAACACGUAGGUGGCAAGCGUUGUCCGGAAUUAUUGGGCGUAACGGGCUCGCAGGCGGUUUCUUAAGUCUGAUGUGAAAGCCCCCGGCUCAACCGGGGAGGGUCAUUGGAAACUGGGAAACUUGAGUGCAGAAGAGGAGAGUGGAAUUCCGCGUGUAGCGGUGAAAUGCGUAGAGAUGUGGAGGAACACCAGUGGCGAAGGCGACUCUCUGGUCUGUAACUGACGCUGAGGAGCGAAAGCGUGGGGAGCGAACGGGAUUAGAUACCCCAGUAGUCCCUGUCUCUUAUAA